GAACUCAUAUCAAAACUUUUAGACUUAAGUAUACUCUUCUCUUACUCUUGCUUUCUCUAUAUAUCUCCUGCAGGCAACAUCUGGAUUUUGGCAUAUGUCAUCAGUGAGAAAAGUGUAUGUCGUUCUAUUGGUGCAACUUCCUUUUAGUCAUCUGGAACAAGUAAAGGAAGACUGUGCGGUAGUUCCACAUGUCAACCAGAUGAGGAUCUGUACCUGAUUUUCAGGGCAGAGGAAUCGAGGAGGGAUGAACUGGGAAACUGGACUCUAUGACUACAUUCAUUUGGGGACUGUGGCAUCUCCCUUUUCCAAUGCAGUUCAACUCUUAAUCUCUAAUUUAGAGCCUGGGACACUGAAAGAUUAAAUAAUUUGCCUACAGGUACUCAGCCACCGUGUGUAAGUUUCAAUGCAAGCCUUCCUGGGGCCUAGGCUGGUUCUCUAUCCUCAAAGCAUUUUCACUUCCUCCUUCACCAGCUAAUAUGCUUAAAUCCAGGUAGGAACUGAGGUCACUACAGGCCACUGAAGCUAAUUAAUGGAUGUUCAGACCCCAAGACAAAGCAAU
RNAcentral lists this long non-coding RNA (559 nucleotides) under Phascolarctos cinereus (koala). RNAcentral's name for it is "lncRNA (ENSPCIG00000012129.2)". Lineage: Eukaryota; Metazoa; Chordata; Mammalia; Diprotodontia; Phascolarctidae. The record is from RNAcentral.